This is a non-coding RNA of Terfezia boudieri ATCC MYA-4762, 96 nucleotides long. The record is from the annotation of a GenBank genome assembly. NCBI's taxonomy places the organism in Eukaryota, Fungi, Ascomycota, Pezizomycetes, Pezizales, Pezizaceae.
GGCGCAGUGGUCUAGCGGUAUGACGCUUGCUAUGUAGUAUCAUCCUGGAUACAGGCAACGGGCAAGAGAACCUGGGUUCAAACCCCAGCUGAGCCA